GGACUGGUCGGUAACUAAACAAAUCAUGGACAAGAGGGACAGGCUCCAGAGGGCUGGCCUGUUGGUGACCCGCCUUUUUGAAGAGUCCGGCGUUCCACCAUCCCUCUUAGGAACACGUAAGCCGACUAGUCUGCGCACAGAAUUGGAAAUGGCUUCUGAAAACUGCAAACAAGGUCAACCGGAGGCAGUCAAAAUUUCCAAACAGAAGGCUAAGCUCCAAAAAACUUUACUCCCUUCCAAUGAACCC
Non-coding RNA from Podarcis lilfordi (Lilford's wall lizard), 247 nucleotides. The record is from the annotation of a GenBank genome assembly. NCBI's taxonomy places the organism in Eukaryota, Metazoa, Chordata, Lepidosauria, Squamata, Lacertidae.